CAGCAGCCGCGGUAAUACGUAGGGUGCGAGCGUUACUCGGAUUUACUGGGCGUAAAGCGUGCGCAGGCGGCCCGUUAAGACAGGUGUGAAAUCCCUGGGCUCAACCUAGGAAUUGCGCUUGUGACUGGCGGGCUCGAGUACGGUAGAGGGGGGUGGAAUUCCUGGUGUAGCAGUGAAAUGCGUAGAGAUCAGGAGGAACACCGAUGGCGAAGGCAGCCCCCUGGGCCUGUACUGACGCUCAUGCACGAAAGCGUGGGGAGCAAACAGGAUUAGAUACCCUGGUAGUCCACGCCCUAAACGAUGGGUACUAGCCGUUUGGUGCGCGAUAGCGCUGAGUGGCGAAGCUAACGCGUGAAGUACCCCGCCUGGGGAGUACGGCCGCAAGGUUGAAACUUAAAGGAAUUGGCGGG
RNAcentral lists this ribosomal RNA (410 nucleotides) under uncultured microorganism. Its description in RNAcentral is "bacterial SSU rRNA". It matches the Rfam family "Bacterial small subunit ribosomal RNA", at positions 509 to 917 of the family's 1533-position model. The record is from RNAcentral.